AUGUUGUUGGAUGGCACCAGUAUGUGACGUUCCUAGGAACUUAGCUCUGAGGAAAAAACAAAGCAAACCGGGGAAGUACGUAGCCUUGAACCGGAGUAACCAGGGACAGAAAGGAAGGAAAAGGGUUUCAUACCUUCACGGAACGACGCUCACUUCGUCCGCCUGAGGAGGAAAAAUAAGUUUAAACCUUUCUGUGAAAAAGAACGUGGAGCCCUUUCUGCCGAAUGGAAACCCGCUAAACCCCGUUAUGGAGUCUGCUACAAUUAAGCAUCUAACCAGGAAUUGUCUAUGGACACAACUCUCCAGGCAAUUCAUGCAGAAAGUGUGUUGACGAUUUCCUGUUUCUUGCAGAGCGCUUCACCGUUAAGGCUCUUAGUAGCUGGCGAUUGUAAAGCACAUUUUCCGCUUCAUGAAAAUACAGUGCUCUUCUUGUGUUUGUAACCUUGGAAAGUAAGUCUGCUAUGAUAAGUUUAGGGAAGUGGCGGGGAGCUACUUUCCUAACAUAUCUGUGAUUGUUUUGAUACUUCUCAGUUUCUCGCGGGCAUUUCCUGCGUUCUCUAUAGGGCUCUCUUGCACUGAAUAAGGAAAGGAGGAAUUCUCUCUGCAUUGAGGCUAUUAUCGCACAUUGUGCGGUGGAUAUAGUCACGCGCUGGGUCGUAGUAGCGUGUCGUUUAUUUCAGUCCAGCUCACUCUUGGUAGAAUCCCUUUAUUCGUUUUGUUGUUUUUGAUAGUCUCUCUCUGCUUCCCAGGCUAGAGUGCAAUGGCGCUAUCUCGACUCACUGUAGCCUCCGCCUUGAGGGCUCAAGCGAUCCUCUCACCUCAGCCUCCCGAGUAGCUGGGACCGUAGACGCCUGCUCCCCAUCCCCGCUAUAUUCGUUCUUUAAUACAGUCUCUCAGCUUGUUCAGCUGCCACUUCUGUGCAGCUCAUUAGCCUGAUCGGUGAAAACUAGGCGAGACGCGCACACUGACCCUGCAGUGCAUCUUGGGAGUUGUAGUCAUAACUAAUCAAUGGUCUUGUUAAAACGUGCUUAUGUUUUGACCAGAUCGCUUAAGUGUGGACACCCUUCAGCAGUACACUACAACGUGGGUCAGUGUACAGAACACAUGCUGAUAGAAAUAAUUUCAAAAUCUGGAUUCAUAGUUUUUUUUUUUAAUCUAGAGACCUCAGAAAAUGUACUUGAAGAAAAUCAUCAUAAUAUAAUACAUAACAAUAGAGCCAAUUAAUUGAUGUGAUGAAAGUGGACAAAAUGUAUUUUGACCUCAGAGAAAAUAACAUUUCUGUCUUGGAAGAGUCAGAGAAUGCUUCACACAAUUUUUGAGCCUGAUGUUAGACUCUCCAGCCUUCUGUCCAAGCCUCACCCUUUGGUUACUCCCCAGGAAGACUGAACUUGGGAAGAGGAUUGUGCAGACCCUGGAGUCAGGCUUGGCGUUUGGGAUAGGGAAUACUAGAGUGCCCACAGCAUGGUCUGGAAAAGGGAAAGUGGGCUGCAGGUGGCUACAGUCCCAUGAUUCCAUGGAUUUCAGACCCCUCCAAAGCACAGGGCUCAGUGCUUAUCCAAGUCUGAGGGCCCCCCAUAACCACAUCUUCCCCAGCAGAUGUUCUUUGCUUCAGGCAGUCAUCAAAGUUCCACUUCAAAGAGUUGCUAACCAAAUAAGCCCACAAUCUUCCUUUUUUGUUGUUUUGAAUAAGUAAUGCCUUUACACAUAUGAAAUUAAAAAGAGAGGCCGGGCAUGGUGGCUCACGCCUGUAAUCCCAGCACUUUGGGAGGGCGAGGUGGGCAGAUUGCCCGAGGUCAGGAGAUCCAGACCAGCCAGGCCAACGUGGUGAAACCCUGUCUCUGCUAAAAAUACAAAAAUCAGCUGGGCGUGGUGGUGGGGGCCUGUAAUCCCAGCUACUUGGGAGGCCGAGGUAGGAGAAUCGCUUCAACCUGGGAGGCAGAGGUUGCAGUGAGCCAAGAUUGCACCACUGCACUCCAGCCUGGGGGACAGUGUGACAGACUGUCUCAAAAAAAAAAAAAAAAAAAAAGGCAAAGAUAUAUAGUGAAAACUAAGUCUUCUUUUAGUCUUUGUCUCCUGCCACUCAUAGAAUUUUCCUCUUGGAAUCACCUCUAUUCCAUUUUCCUGUGUAUGUUGCCAGAGCAGGGCUGGCUUCAUGGUGGUGACCUGUACAGAUAGGCACUUGGUUUAAUGUUUUGCUGUCACUAACUUGAAAUUCAGGAAAGUUUCUGGACAAGGGCCCUGCGGUUUUAUUUUGCACUGGGCCCACAAAGUAUGUAUCUAGUCCUAUUCCAGAGAUAUUCUAUGCAUAUACAGGUAAUUAUAUGUAGAUAUGUAUGUAGUGGUCCAGUAGUGGUCCAGGGCCUGUUAGGAACUGGGCGGCACAGCAGAAGGUGAGUGGCAGGGGAGCCAGCAUUUCGGCCUGAGCUCUGCCCCCUGUCAGAUGAGCAGGGGCAUUACAUUCUGGUAGGAGUGAGAACCCUAUUGUAAACUGCACAUGCAAGGGAUCUAACCUGUGCACUCCUUAUGAGAAUCCAACUCCCCCUUUCCAUGGAAAAAUUGUCUUCCACAAAACCAGUCCCUGGUGUCAAAAAGGUUGGGGACCUCUGUAGUAGGCUACCAUCUAGGUUUGUUUAGGUACACUCUAUGAUGUUCACACAACAAAAAAUCACCUGAUGAUGCAUUUUUCAGAAAGCAUCCCCAUUGUUAAGGGACACAUGACUGUAAUGGAAUACUAUUCUUUUCCUUCCUUUUUAUUUUUUGUGGAGACAGGGUCUCUACAUGUUGGUGCCCAGGCUGGUCUCACACUCCUGAGCUUAAGGGAUCUGCCUGCUUUGACCUCCCAAAGUGCUGGGAUUACAAGUGUGAGCCACCAUAUCUGAACCCCUGUCCCCCACUUUUUUUUUCUUUCUUUUUUUCCAUACACAGUCCAGGCUGGAGUGCAGAGGUGUCAUCUCGGCUCACUGCAACCUCCGUCUCCCGGAUUCUAACGAUUCUCCUGCCUCAUCCUCCUGAGUAGCUGGGAUUAUAGGUGUCCGCCACCACGCCCAGCUAAUUUUUGUAUUUUUAGUAGAGAUGGGGUUUCACCAUGUUGGUGAGGCUGGUCUCAAACUCUUGACCUCAUGUGAUCCACCUGCCUCAGCCUCCCAAAAUACUGGGAUUACAGGGGUGAGCCACCGUGCCCAGGACAGCCUUUUUUGGGUCAGUGUGUAUAUAGAGCUAACUCAUUCUACUUAAUGGCUACAUAGUAUCCCACUGUGAUAGCCGCAAAAGGCAGACAAAUCCUAGGCAGACAGGGGCAGGUCCCUGGUGAAACCCUUCAAGCUGAGGACAGUUUAAAGGCUAGCCACAAGACCAGGAUAAAUCCACAGACCAGAUUGAGAACCUCUCUUCCCAUUUGGCGUGCUUUCUUCUGAUUGAUCCCCACCCUUCACCUAUUUUACACAUAUCCUUUCCUAAUUGUUUUUUUACACUGUUGUACCUACCUUUGAGUGGUGCUGUUGUUUUAGCCUUUUUUGCAUACUCACAAACCAAUCAGCAUGCACGCCUUCAUUCUGAGCCCAUAAAAGCUGUGGACUCAGCCGCACUGAGAGAGAGACCACCUGACUUUGAGUGAGGGACCACCCUUGCAUCCUCUCUCUCCUGAGAGCUGUUUCAUAGUUCAAAUAAAACUCUUCUCCACCCUCCUCACCCUUUGAUUGUCAGCGUAACCUCAUUCUUGGACGCUGAAGAAAAAUUCGGGACCCACCAAACGCAGAUACAAAGAAGGCUGUACACACUGUGGCCCUUUGCCCUCUGCUGGUGGAGGGCAACCGUCCCACACAACGCGAUGGGAAGCAGCAGUGGGGCAGAGCCAGUCCUGAAGCCACGGGCCUGAGUGGGGCAAUGGGACUGAUAGAGCUGUUAACAUGCCACUGUCCGUUGGCCUGCAGACGGCAGAACUAAAAGAGUGCUUAGCAUACUGUAACACCUCUGGGGCUUCAGGGUCAUGAGCACCCCUGUUUGGGUGCCACCACAUUUCCCUCAAUGUGACACACCUGGUCCAGCCACAAGCCCCGCACAGAGCCCACUCCUGCCCUGUACUCGUUCACUCACACACCCCCUCCUGCCAGGGGCUGAGGCCAUGGUGGCUGCAGGAUUCGUGCCUGAGCACAAGCCAGACACAUCCUGGUGGGCCGAGUAGUUGGGGUGUUGCUGGCCGGAGGUCUCCAGCUGUCAAAGUGGCCAAGAAAAAUCCUGCAUCAACUGUACAAAUGUACCCUAAUUUAUUUAACUCAUUUAUUGUAUAUUUGUGUCAUUUCCAAUGGUUCGUAAUUUCAAACAUAUGAUUGUGCAAAAGUUGUUUUAUGUGUGCCAAUAUCUUUGUAGGUUAAUUUCCUAGAGCAAAGUUUUUCAACCUAAGCACCACUGACAUCUGGGGCUGGAUAAUUUGUUGUGAGGGGCUGUCAUGUGCGUUAUACGAUGUAUCCUAUCCACCCCUAUAUGUUAUGAAAAAUAUUUCAGUGGCCAGAAUCCUUUCAAUGACUUAAAAAGCCCUUUUCAUCCUGCUUCUGCCUACCUCUCCAGCUGCAUCUUAGUACCCGCACACUCUUUUUUCAUACUCAUGCCCCUGCUUGCUGUCUUUGCACAGGUAUUCUCUUUGUCUGGAGCUUUCUUCCUCACCAAUCAUCUCCUAAUAACUCCCAUUUUAUCUUUUAAAUGUUGCCACUAUUAUCACUUCCUUGGAGGAGCCUUCUUGGACUGCCUAUUUCAAAUCCCCUGGGUUUUUUUUUUUUCUUUGACAAAAGCCACAUUCGAACAAAUCCCCCUUGGAAUGUUACAAUUACCAAAAAAUCCAAUUUAAACUAGUUUAAAUGAUAAGAGAAUUUAUUGGCUCACAUAAAUGAGAAGUCUGAAGAUAAGGUGAACCUCAGGUUGAUUUGAGUGACUUAACAGUAUCAGCAGGAACUUGAUUUCCUUCUACCUCUCAAUUUUCUUUCUGAUGUCAGAUUCAUCCUAAGGCUUACUCCUUUUGUAUCAUAAAAUGGUGGCCAGGAUCUCCCAAGGUUAUGUAGUUCUUUGUCCAUAUCAAAAGAGAGUUUCUUUCACAUAUUUCACAGUUUCAAUGUGAUUAAAUUAAUUUAGGUCACAUGUCCGCCCCUAAACCUAGAGUUUUGUGGUCUAGAGAAUGUCAAGCACUGAUUGGCCAGGGCAAAUCAAGGCCUAUCCUUGGAACUGGAAGUUACGUUAAUCCCACCUAAAUCCCAUGAAUGUUACUCUAUGAGGUAUCGGUAAAAUCGAUGCUAGGAAUACAAUCAGAAUCCAUUAUAUCCUAUUACACGCUUAUAGCACCAUGCACCCCUCCAUUGUAGCACCUGUCAUACUUGUAGCUUUAUAUUUAUUUGUAUGAUUUCUGAUUAAUAACUGUCUUCUCAUCCAGAUGAAAAACCUCUAUUAGUCCAGGGAACUGCAUUUUUUCUCACCAUUGUAUCUCUAGUCUAGCACAGGGUGUCAAACAUAGCAGGUUCUCAAUAACUAUUGAAAGAAUGAAACUUCCCUUAGAAGUUUACUACUCAAUUUGACAUUCCCUUUAGCAGGCAAUUUAAUAGCUACCAUAUCAGACUUAUAUUACAUAUUUGAAAGUCCCAGACUGAGAUCUCUAAUUUCUAUCUCCAGGCAGUCAGUUCUUGACACACCACUGAGUAAGAUUCAUGGAAUAAAUCUGACCAUAUUAUAUUCCCUUGACAUCUUUCAAGUUCCUGAUUUCUUUUAGGAUAAAGUUCUUUAUGAUGCCAUUCAAAGCUCUUCAUGGUUUGGCCCCUAUCUGGCUUUCUAUUCUCAAGAGCAAAACUAUAGACUUCUGGCCUUCUUCAGGGUGAUCUUUCUCUUUCAAUCAUAGUCCCUCCCCAACCACUCACCAAAUAUCAGUUUUUAGAAGUCUUGUCUCUUGCAGGGAGUAGAGAGGGGGCAGUAAUAGUUUAUUCAGGGAUUCCCCCAUAUCUUUCCUGGGUAAAGGUAUUCUAGAAGGAGGCAGAGGAAGGAGGCUAGAGGUCCCACUGUUUGGCAUUCAGGCUUUCACUUAAUGCUCACUUUAGCCCUGCUUCACAGUCCCCUACUACCUACUGUGACUAAUAUUCUCAAGUCAAGAGUCUCUCCCAUUCUAGAAAAUAAAUCAGGCUCCUGGGAUGUGGUGAUGGUGUUAUAGGGGCAUGUGUGGGUAUGAGUGUGUGUGUAUGUGUGUAUGUGUGUGGGGUGGCAGUCCUUUGGUUAUAUGGGAUUGGGGAAUAGACCCAGGAAUGUAGGUGUUCUUUAUAUAGGCUUUCACCCUUCCCUAAAAUUUUCUGCCCUGAUCCUUUCUAAUUUUUUUGUGGAAAGAAUUAGCUCUUUUAAUUUAUUUAUUUUAUUUUAUUUUAUUUCAUUUUAUUUUAUUUUUUUGAGAUGGAAUCUUGCUCUGUUGCCCAGGCUGGAGUGCAGUGGUGUGAUCUUGGCUCACUGUAACCUCUGCCUCCCAGGUUCAAGCGAUUCUCCUGUCUCAGCCUACUGACUAGCUGGGACUACAGGCAUGUACCACCAUGCCAGGUUAAUUUUUUGUAUUUUUAGUAGAGACGGGCUUUCACCAUGUUAGCCAGGAUGGUCUCCAUCUCCUGACCUCGUGAUCUGCCUGCCUCAGCCUCCCAAAGUGCUGGGAUUACAGACGUGAGCGACUGCGCCCGGCAUCUUUUUAUAUUUUUAAAAGGUCACAUGUAUGUCCUUUCCUGUGAACUGUUUAUAUUCUUUGCCAAAGUGCUGGGAUUACAGACAUGAGCCACUGCACCUGGCCUUACCUCUUCUUUUUUUCUUUAAUCACCUGUGGAGGCUUUUAGAUUGUGCCUUUUGCUGUCAAGUCUACUACUACUCUUCCAUCGGCUUGUCAUACAACCAUUUGUUGAAAUUUCUUUUGUAUUUUGUUUGCCUUUUGGGCUCUACACUUUUUAAAAAUUUAUUUAGCUGUCAAAGAGAUGACAUACUGUGUAUGGUUAAUUUUCCAUGUAUUCUGGAGUUCUAAUAUAUUUUCAUGGUUUUUAAAUGUUUAGUUCUUUAAUCAAGUUGGAAUUUUUAAAAUAUAUAUGAAGUAGGAUGCUAAUUUAAAACUUUUCCUCCAAAUGGAUAUCCAUCCAGUUGUCUCAACAUCAUGUAUAGAAAAAACAAAUUGAAAAUGCUAUCUUAUCAUAUUAUUUACUAAAUUUACAUGCAUAUACAUAUACAUACAUAACAUAUAUCUGAGUUUGAGUCUGAAUUCACUACUGUUUCAAUUGCUGUAGUUGGUCAAUUCUAGUAUGACAGAGUUUUAAUUGCUACAGUUUUGGAAUGAUUAUGGGGUUACUUUUGAGACAGGGUCUGGCUAUCUUGCCCAGACUGGUCUCAAACUUACCGGCUCAAGCAAUCCUCCCAUCUCAGCCUCUUAAAGUGUUGGGAUUAUAGGUAUGAACCACUGCACCUGGCCCUGGAUUGCAUUUUGACUGUGGCCAUAGAAGUUUCCACUCAGAUCUUCAAGAGAACCUACUCUGGGGACUACAAGUGACUGACAGCCAGCUGCCACCCCUUUGGAACUACCAUGCAUUCAUGUCAAUGCCACAUAUCUCUGGAGUCGCCCCCAGCUAGUGGCUGAGCACAGCAGGAGUACUAAACUUGUUCUUUCUUGCCCAGUGCAGAACUCCUCUAACGGGCAACUUUGGCUUGGGGAACUUCUCAUCAGCCUGGAUGAGACUAUCUUAGAACUACAGUGUAGUCGAGGCUCUUUCUACCCAAUAUUUCCUUCUCUUCUUUUUACAGAAGUCAGACCUGCACCACAGUCUGAAGUCUCUCUGCCAAUUCCUGAGCCUUCCCACUUUAUCCUUCACAAACAUUUCCCCCAAUAAAUAUCUUGCAUGUCUAAUCCCUUCUUGGCAUCUGCUUCUCUGAGGACCAGAACAGACAGGUGGUUUACCAAGUGGUGCAAGAAAACAGAUAGUAAGAUGGGUUUUGGGCAAUGGCUUACUUGGUCCCUGGCACAAAGCAGCCAUCUGAGUCCUGAUUUAGCCAGCAGUGACCUAGGAAAACAUCCCAGAGAAGGGAAAUCCUCUUGCUCGUGCAAUUUAGGCAUUUAAAAGAUAUGGGGAAUACGAUGCCUACAAAGAAAGCAGAGCUGGCCAACUGUUACUAAGACAAGUAAUGCCUUGCAGAUGGAUAAUGAGAAACCGAGAGCACUUAAACAGUUAAAGGCUAAGUGUGGGAGCCGGGGGCUUCUCUGGAGCUUAACAAACUUUUAUUUCCUGCAGUGGAAGAGCAGAAAUGGGAUUGGAUGGUCACAGAGCUCUAAAGAUAUUUGAAUGCUCAGCCUAGGGAGAUCCAGUAUGUAGUCAGGGCGCUGGUUGGGGAAACCAGCCUGAAGCUUUGAAACAUGGAAUGGGUGCCCCUGAGGAUUUUGGCUCUGUAGAUACCUCUGGACACUCAAGAGCUUACAGAACUGGCUCAUACUUCCUAGUAAGAGCAAGCACUUCCCUCAUUACAGAAAGACCUCUUCCAUAAUUGUUCUCAGUUUUUCUCCUGGCUGCCAAGCCAUGGUAACUGGAGUUAACAUCUCAGCAUAAUCUGCCUAGGAACUGCUGGCCCUGAUAAGAAAGGAAAGAUUACACACCGAAGGAAUUGAAAUAAGUUACCAUGACUAUCAGGAGCCAGAGAAGUAUACUUAGGAUUGGAUUUUAAGGGUGUUCAAUUAAGGGGGCUGGAAUUUAAGACAACAUAAGCAAGACUUCAUGGACUUGGGGUACUUUUUUGGGACAGAUUUAACCUCAGCAAGUAGUCCCGAGGUUAGCUUUUCAAAGCCUGGAAAAGGUGAUGGCUUUGAAAAAGUGGAAAUGAAUUCACACCAUGGCAGCUUUUAACUUGAGGAGAAGAUAGCUAUUUAUUUUGGCAUAUUUAUGUGGUUACUGCUCACUUACUAGUCCCAAUUGUUUUGUAACCACUUUUUAUUUAUUUUUUGAGAUAGUCUCAUUCUGUUUUCUAGACUGGAGUACAGUGGUGCAAUCUUGGCUCAUUGCAACCUCUACCUCUUGGGCUUAAGCCAUCCUCCCACCUCAGCCUCCUAAUUUUUGCAUUUUUUGCAGAGAUGGGGUUUCCCCAUGUCACCCAGGCUGGUCUUGAACUCCUGGACUCAAGUCAUCUGCCCAUUUUGGCCUCCCAAAGUGCUGGGAUUACAGGCGUGAGCCACCACAUCGGGACUGUUUUUUUUGUUUUUUGAGAUGGAGUCUUGCUCUUGUUGCCAAGGCUGGAGUACAAUAGCACCAUCUCAGCUUACUCCAACCUCCACCUCCCGGGUUCAAGCAAUUCUCCUGCCUCAGCCUCCCGAGUAGCUGGGAUUACAGGCACCUGCCACUACACUUGGCUAAUUUUUAUAUUUUUAGCAGAGACGGGUUUUCGCCAUGUUGGCCAGGCUGGUCUCAAACUCCUGACUUUGUGAUCCGCCCACCUCGGCCACCCAAAGUGCUGGGAUUACAGGUUUUAGCCACCAUGCCCGGCCACCUGGCCUGUUUUAUACCAAUUUAAAGUGUUUUUUUAGGCUUCACAUGGUGGUUCAUGCCUGUAAUCCCAGCACUCUGGAAGGCCAAGGUGGGAGGAUCGCUUGAGCCCAGGAGUUUGAGAUCAGCACCUGGGCAACAGAGCGAGACCUCACCUCUACUAAAAAUUAAAAAAAAAAAAAAAAUUAACCAGGCAUGGUAGUCCAUACCUGUAGUACCAGCUACUUGGGAGGCUGAGGCAGGAGGAUCCCUUGAGCCUAGGAGUUCAAGGUUGCAGUAAGCUAUGAUUAUGUCACUGCACUCCAGCCUGAGUGACAGUAAGACCCUGUCUAAAAAAUAAAUAGUGGUUUUUAGAUGAUCAUCUGCAAAUAUUUUUGUUCUUUCCCUGUAUCCCUUUUUAAUCUCAUCACAUUGAUUAGGACAUCCAGAACACUGGUGAUUCUUGUUUUGUUCCUGACUUUAAUGGCCAUGUUUCCAGUGUUGUAUACAUGUUCCUAAUUUUUGAUACAUACCACUUGUGACGUUAAGGACAUUUCCUGAUAUUCUAAACUCUCUAGGAAAUGGAUAUUGAAUUAUUAAAAAAAAAAGUCUCUUUUUAGCCUGGGCAACAUAGUGAGACCCAGUCUCUAAAAGAACAACAACAGCAAAAAAUUUGCUGGCAUGCUGGUGCAUGCUGGCAGUCCCAGCACCUCAGCAGGCUGAGGCAGGAGGAUCACUUCAGCCCAGGAGUUUGAGGCUACAGUGAACUAUGAUCCUGCCACUGCACUCCAGCCUGGGCAACAGAGCAAGACCCUGUCUCC
RNAcentral lists this long non-coding RNA (10312 nucleotides) under Homo sapiens (human). RNAcentral's name for it is "non-protein coding lnc-CFAP36-3:3". The record is from RNAcentral. Lineage: Eukaryota; Metazoa; Chordata; Mammalia; Primates; Hominidae.